RNAcentral lists this ribosomal RNA (416 nucleotides) under uncultured bacterium. Its description in RNAcentral is "bacterial SSU rRNA". It matches the Rfam family "Bacterial small subunit ribosomal RNA", at positions 356 to 771 of the family's 1533-position model. The record is from RNAcentral.
AAGGAAUAUUGCUCAAUGGGAGAAAUCCUGAAGCAGCAACGCCGCGUGGAGGAUGAAGGGUCUAUGACUUGUAAACUCCUGUAAAGAAGGGAAAAAUCCCCAUUAGAUGGGAGAUGAUGGUACUUCUGGAGUAAGCCCCGGCUAACUACGUGCCAGCAGCCGCGGUAAUACGGAGGGUGCAAGCGUUGUUCGGAAUUAUUGGGCGUAAAGCGCGUGUAGGCGGUCUUUUAAGUCUGAUGUGAAAGCCCCGGGCUCAACCUGGGAAGUGCAUUGGAAACUGGGAGACUUGAAUACGGGAGAGGUCAGUUGAAUUCCUAGUGUAGGAGUGAAAUCCGUAGAUAUCAGGAGGAACACCUGCGGUGUAGACAGCUUUCUGGACCAAAACUGACGCUGAGGCACGAAAGCGUGGGUAGCAA